This 253-nucleotide ribosomal RNA is filed under the name uncultured bacterium. RNAcentral describes it as "partial 16S ribosomal RNA". It matches the Rfam family "Bacterial small subunit ribosomal RNA", at positions 524 to 776 of the family's 1533-position model. The record is from RNAcentral.
UACGGAGGGUGCAAGCGUUGUCCGGAAUCACUGGGCGUAAAGGGCGCGUAGGCGGCUUGGUAAGUCAUCUGUGAAAUCCCGGUGCUCAACGCCGGGGCUGCAGGUGAGACUGCCUGGCUGGAGCUUGGUAGGGGCGAGUGGAAUUCCCGGUGUAGCGGUGAAAUGCGUAGAUAGCGGGAGGAACACCUGUGGCGAAAGCGGCGCACUGGACCACAUCUGACGCUGAGGCGCGAAAGCUAGGGGAGCAAACAGG